Molecule: ribosomal RNA, 484 nt
Filed under: uncultured bacterium
Lineage: Bacteria
Description: partial 16S ribosomal RNA
Rfam family: Bacterial small subunit ribosomal RNA
Source: RNAcentral
AUUGAACGCUGGCGGCAGGCCUAACACAUGCAAGUCGAGCGGAUGAAGGGAGCUUGCUCCUGGAUUCAGCGGCGGACGGGUGAGUAAUGCCUAGGAAUCUGCCUGGUAGUGGGGGAUAACGUCCGGAAACGGGCGCUAAUACCGCAUACGUCCUGAGGGAGAAAGUGGGGGAUCUUCGGACCUCACGCUAUCAGAUGAGCCUAGGUCGGAUUAGCUAGUUGGUGGGGUAAAGGCCUACCAAGGCGACGAUCCGUAACUGGUCUGAGAGGAUGAUCAGUCACACUGGAACUGAGACACGGUCCGGACUCCUACGGGAGGCAGCAGUGGGGAAUAUUGGACAAUGGGCGAAAGCCUGAUCCAGCCAUGCCGCGUGUGUGAAGAAGGUCUUCGGAUUGUAAAGCACUUUAAGUUGGGAGGAAGGGCAGUAAGUUAAUACCUUGCUGAUUUGACGUUACCAACAGAAUAAGCACCGGCUAACUUCGUG